GGACGUUUAGCUCAGCGGAAGAGCACUACAUUCACACUGUAGGGGGCACAGGUUCGAUCCCUGUAACGUCCACCA
This 75-nucleotide transfer RNA is filed under the name Holosporaceae bacterium. RNAcentral describes it as "tRNA-Val". It matches the Rfam family "tRNA". From Rfam's summary of the family: Transfer RNA (tRNA) molecules are approximately 80 nucleotides in length. Their secondary structure includes four short double-helical elements and three loops (D, anti-codon, and T loops). Further hydrogen bonds mediate the characteristic L-shaped molecular structure. tRNAs have two regions of fundamental functional importance: the anti-codon, which is responsible for specific mRNA codon recognition, and the 3' end, to which the tRNAs corresponding amino acid is attached (by aminoacyl-tRNA synthetases). tRNAs cope with the degeneracy of the genetic code in two manners: having more than one tRNA (with a specific anti-codon) for a particular amino acid; and 'wobble' base-pairing, i.e. permitting non-standard base-pairing at the 3rd anti-codon position. The record is from RNAcentral. Lineage: Bacteria; Pseudomonadati; Pseudomonadota; Alphaproteobacteria; Holosporales; Holosporaceae.